UACGGAGGAUGCGAGCGUUAUCCGGAUUUAUUGGGUUUAAAGGGUGCGUAGGCGGGAUGCCAAGUCAGCGGUAAAAAUGCGGUGCUCAACGCCGUCGAGCCUUUGAAACUGGCGUUCUUGAGUGGGCGAGAAGUAUGCGGAAUGCGUGGUGUAGCGGUGAAAUGCAUAGAUAUCACGCAGAACUCCGAUUGCGAAGGCAGCAUACCGGCGCCCUACUGACGCUGAGGCACGAAAGCGUGGGUAUCGAACAGG
RNAcentral lists this ribosomal RNA (252 nucleotides) under uncultured bacterium. RNAcentral's name for it is "partial 16S ribosomal RNA". It matches the Rfam family "Bacterial small subunit ribosomal RNA", at positions 524 to 776 of the family's 1533-position model. The record is from RNAcentral.